UGCAACUGGACUGGAAAGCCGGGUGACAC
RNAcentral lists this non-coding RNA (29 nucleotides) under Mus musculus (house mouse). The record is from RNAcentral. Lineage: Eukaryota; Metazoa; Chordata; Mammalia; Rodentia; Muridae.